This 691-nucleotide ribosomal RNA is filed under the name uncultured archaeon. Its description in RNAcentral is "bacterial SSU rRNA". It matches the Rfam family "Archaeal small subunit ribosomal RNA", at positions 102 to 796 of the family's 1478-position model. The record is from RNAcentral.
AGUCAACAUGCCCAAAGGACGUGGAUAACCUCGGGAAACUGAGGAUAAACCGCGAUAGGCCAAGGUUUCUGGAAUGAGCCAUGGCCGAAAUCUAUAUGGCCUUUGGAUUGGACUGCGGCCGAUCAGGCUGUUGGUGAGGUAAUGGCCCACCAAACCUGUAACCGGUACGGGCUUUGAGAGAAGGAGCCCGGAGAUGGGCACUGAGACAAGGGCCCAGGCCCUAUGGGGCGCAGCAGGCGCGAAACCUCUGCAAUAGGCGAAAGCCUGACAGGGUUACUCUGAGUGAUUCCCGCUAAGGGGAUCUUUUGGCACCUCUAAAAAUGGUGCAGAAUAAGGGGUGGGCAAGUCUGGUGUCAGCCGCCGCGGUAAUACCAGCACCCCGAGUGGUCGGGACGAUUAUUGGGCCUAAAGCAUCCGUAGCCGGUCAUGCAAGUCCUCCGUUAAAUCCACCUGCUUAACAGAUGGGCUGCGGAGGAUACUACAAGGCUAGGAGGCGGAAGAGGCAAGCGGUACUCAGUGGGUAGGGGUAAAAUCCUCUGAUCCAUUGAAGACCACCAGUGGCGAAGGCGGCUUGCCAAUACGCGCUCGACGGUGAGGGAUGAAAGCUGGGGGAGCAAACCGGAUUAGAUACCCGGGUAGUCCCGGCUGUAAACGAUGCAGACUCGGUGAUGGGCCGGCUUUAUGCCGGCUC